AGUACAGUUGCUGGAUCAAAUGGUAGUUAUAUGUUUAAUUUUUAAGAAAAUGCCAAACAUUUUUUCCAGAAUGAUUGCACCAUUUUAUGUUCUUAUCAGUGGC
RNAcentral lists this microRNA precursor (103 nucleotides) under Marmota monax (woodchuck). The record is from RNAcentral. Lineage: Eukaryota; Metazoa; Chordata; Mammalia; Rodentia; Sciuridae.